Molecule: non-coding RNA, 74 nt
Organism: Gymnothorax javanicus (giant moray)
Lineage: Eukaryota; Metazoa; Chordata; Actinopteri; Anguilliformes; Muraenidae
Source: the annotation of a GenBank genome assembly
GGCGGCAUGGCUCAGGAGGUAGAGCAGACGGCCUAAGAAUCAGAGGGUUCCCGGUUCAAAUCCCGGCUCCUCUA